CCCCCACCCCACUAGAGGAGAAGAAUUGCCUGGUGUAUGUAGAAGCAGGAAACUGGCAUCAAUGCUGCAGAGUGAAGGCCAACCCUGACAUGAUACAGAUGUUCAAAUUAUGAAAAGAAAUAAAAAAAAGAGAGGGCUAGUGGUGUUGCAGCUGGUUAGGCACACACCUUACCAAGUGCAAGAACCCAGGAUUGGGUGCCACUAACCUGCCAGAAAGCCUUAUUAUUGACAUACUAAGCUGAUAAUGAAGAUGAGAAAUUAAGGAGGAAUUUGUUUGGGAUAAGUAAUUAAAAAUGAUCCCAUUCUAAUGCAGUAAAUAAUUGUAAAAAGAGCACACAAUGUACAAGGAACAUGCAGACAGGAAUUCAUUGCAUUCCAGGCACAGGAAUGUAUAAGACCAUCUUCCUCUUUACUUUGUCAACUCUUUUCAUGGGCACAUGCUAGGGCAGGGUCUCCUGUCAGAUUCAUGGACACAGAGACACAGACACAGCCUUCUUUGCACAGAAGGUCCAGGAGAAGGCCCAUGUGUCAUCUUCUACAGUGAGGUGGGUCUCUUCAUGGUCAGCCUGGACCUAGAUUGGAGUUUCUCUACAUGUAGGUGUCAAACAUCUGCAUAAACAUGAAGGGUCAAAUGCCAGCCACUGAGGGGCUUCCACUAGAAGUAGAUGACUCCCAUUGCCUCGCAUAUGGAGACCAGCUGGGUUCCUGUACAUGCCUCCUUCCACGUGAUAUUUCCUUUCUGAAACAAACUCAUGACACUGAAAGUCAAUCCCAAGGUGGGGGCAGGAUUGGCAGGGACCCAGUAGCCCCACAGAAAACCAUGCACAUCUCCAAGGAAGCCACAGCUCCCUUGCCAUGCUCUGGCUACAUCCUGUGGUCACGAUGGGCUCAUCACGACCACUUCAGCCUGAACCUAUGUUUGGAUUUCUCUCCAUACAGAUGGUGAAUAUCACCAUGAAUAUGGAAUGGCUCCACUACAGGUGACUGAGGAGCAAUCACAGGAACAGGAAAUCACUGGCUUGGCUUCCAGCCACCAGGAGUCCUUCCUGUUGGAGCAGCUAUUUGAGGACACUCCAGGUCUCUGGACUGGGGGUGACUCUACCUGGACCCUGAGUAGCUCUGUUGACAGAGGCCACCAUAAGAGCAUCUUGGUGGCUGUGGACUAGAGGGAUGACACUGACACCACCCUCCAUGAUGUGGAAAGCAUCUGGCAGAGCUCUGUGUUCAACUGUCUGCACAGUGCUCCCUCAUGGCUGCCUCUGUUGGAGCUCAGGACUGAAUACCUGAUGGGCUGUGGGGACAGGGCCACCCACAAGCUGUCACUCUACAACUAUGCCCUGAGCCACCCCAUCAUCCCCGUGAACCUGGCAGUGGAGGACAUCAUGGACUGUGUCUAUCUGCUCCACCAGAAGGAGAAGGCCACCAGCACUCAGUUCUGCUGCAUCAUGGCUGUGCUGUGCACCGGCAACCACACAGAGCUUAACAAGGAAGACAGGGAGGAGUGAGGCCCUCCAUCUUGGUCCCGUUACUGCUAGAGGCAUGACAAGAAGACAGCCUGCUAAUUCCUAUUCGGGAGAGUGACACCUCCAGAAAGGCUCAGUGAUGGACCAUCUCAGGCCUCUCUCUAUGGGAUCCAGAGAGCCCCCUGUCUACACCCUGCUCAGCUGAUAAGGGCUCAGGGAUCCUCUCAGCACCUUGCUGGGGGCUCCCCUGGCAAAUCUGCAAUCACUGAGGCCACCUGGGCGUCUGCUGGAAUGCCUACAGCCAGCUUCCCCUUUGUAGAACUGACCCUUUCUUUUCCCUGUUACUUUAUGAUAUCCAACUGACAACAAUUAUUCUCUUAAUCCUUUGCAGGAUUUUAACUUAGUCCUCAGUCCUGCCAUCUAUGUGGAAACUUGCUGGUGGAAGACAUGAAGCCCUCUGAUUAACACAGUUCUUUUAAACUUUUUGUCUAAUGGGGUCACAAUGAAAAAUGUCAACAUUCCACAUCCAGCUCAUUUCAUUUGAGGCAUCUUCCCUGAUCCCUUCUUACAUCCUGGUUUGAAGGUCUCUUCAAAGUUAUCUCUCUUAUUCCUUUCACUGUAUGUAUGUAGUUAUAGUCUUUUACUGUAUUUUCUUGUUGAUUGUAUUGCUAUAAUAAAUAUCACUCCCUGACUCUGUGCCUUA
Molecule: long non-coding RNA, 2166 nt
Organism: Erinaceus europaeus (western European hedgehog)
Lineage: Eukaryota; Metazoa; Chordata; Mammalia; Eulipotyphla; Erinaceidae
Exons: 3
Source: RefSeq, a predicted model, not a curated record